AUUGAACGCUGGCGGAACGCUUUACACAUGCAAGUCGAACGGCAGCACGGACUUCGGUCUGGUGGCGAGUGGCGAACGGGUGAGUAAUAUAUCGGAACGUGCCCAGUCGUGGGGGAUAACGUAGUGAAAAUUACGCUAAUACCGCAUACGAUCUAUGGAUGAAAGCGGGGGAUCGCAAGACCUCGCGCGAUUGGAGCGGCCGAUAUCAGAUUAGGUAGUUGGUGAGGUAAAGGCUCACCAAGCCGACGAUCUGUAGCUGGUCUGAGAGGACGACCAGCCACACUGGAACUGAGACACGGUCCAGACUCCUACGGGAGGCAGCAGUGGGGAAUUUUGGACAAUGGACGCAAGUCUGAUCCAGCCAUUCCGCGUGCAGGACGAAGGCCUUCGGGUUGUAAACUGCUUUUGUACAGAACGAAAAGGUCUCUAUUAAUACUAGGGGCUCAUGACGGUACUGUAAGAAUAAGCACCGGCUAACUACGUGCCAGCCGCCGCAGUAA
Molecule: ribosomal RNA, 500 nt
Filed under: uncultured bacterium
Lineage: Bacteria
Description: partial 16S ribosomal RNA
Rfam family: Bacterial small subunit ribosomal RNA
Source: RNAcentral